RNAcentral lists this ribosomal RNA (469 nucleotides) under uncultured bacterium. RNAcentral's name for it is "partial 16S ribosomal RNA". It matches the Rfam family "Bacterial small subunit ribosomal RNA", at positions 28 to 507 of the family's 1533-position model. The record is from RNAcentral.
GAUGAACGCUGGCGGCGUGCUUAACACAUGCAAGUCGAACGGUGAACACGGAGCUUUCUCUGUGGGAUCAGUGGCGAACGGGUGAGUAACACGUGAGCAACCUGCCCCUGACUCUGGGAUAACCGCUGGAAACUGCGUCUAAUACUGGAUAUGUGACGUGACCGCAUGGUCUGCGUUUGGAAAGAUUUUUCGGUUGGGGAUGGGCUCGCGGCCUAUCAGCUUGUUGGUGAGGUAAUGGCUCACCAAGGCGUCGACGGGUAGCCGGCCUGAGAGGGUGACCGGCCACAUUGGGACUGAGACACGGCCCAGACUCCUACGGGAGGCAGCAGUGGGGAAUAUUGCACAAUGGGCGCAAGCCUGAUGCAGCAACGCCGCGUGAGGGAUGACGGCCUUCGGGUUGUAAACCUCUUUUAGCAGGGAAGAAGCGAAAGUGACGGUACCUGCAGAAAAAGCGCCGGCUAACUACGUG